This 741-nucleotide long non-coding RNA is filed under the name Homo sapiens (human). RNAcentral describes it as "HSALNT0376542". The record is from RNAcentral. Lineage: Eukaryota; Metazoa; Chordata; Mammalia; Primates; Hominidae.
CGGGACUGGAACCGGCACUUGGCACCCCUUACGCCUUACGGUGGCCGCUGCGCCCAGUCACAUCUAUUGCAUUUCUCUGGAAUGACCACAGCAAUAUUUCCAGCCCUUGAUGAUCUUCUAGAACUUUGCCACUUCCCUGCAUCAAGAGGUAUAACCUCAUCCUGGAGCAGGGCACCCUAUCGUCAGAUGGUAUCAUCUUUAAGGGGUUGUCUCAGCCAUGCCUUUAGAAUUACCUUUCAUUGCUUGUCAUGCUGGAAGCUUCUGAAUGUUGCAUUUUGUGAUAGAAACAGUGGGUACCAUGGUCAUGUGCUCACAUCUCCUUUGCGGUAAAGAAAAGGAUCACUCAUUAACAUCCACCAGAUAACAUUCUCCAUGAAAGCACCAAAUAAACUAACCAGAAUUGGCUACAGUUUCUUCAAGAAAAUACCCCAAUGGAAGAAAAAAAGGUGGAGGGAGAAACUGAAUGAAGAAAGGAUGAUUUGAAAUUACCAGAAAGUGGAACGUGGAAAAAACAGAGUAAAACUAGUUUGAGAAUAAAAUCUUAGGUUGUAACAUCUUCUGGGAAUUUAUUCUUUAAAUAUUGCUUUUAACUGGAUUCUUUGGUAAAUAGUAAAUGCAUUUUGGUUUUGAUUUAAGCAGCUCAUUCUUUUGUUUCUUCACUUCUCCAAUAAACUUGCUCUCACUUAAAAAAUGCCUUGUAGAACAACUCAUGAUAAUUAUUACUGUUGGGAAAUAGGAGAA